AGAGCAACCCGCUGAAUUUAAGCAUAUAAGUAAGUGGAGGAUUUGAAACCAAAUGGGAAUUCUUAAGUAAUGGCGAAUGAACAGGGAUAUGCCUAGUGUGGAAAUUGAGGUUGAUGACCUUGAAUUGUUUUCUUCAGACACUCUUCCAGCAAAGGUGCACAUGUAGAUGUUGUGGAAAAAGAUUUCGAGGAAGGUGACAUGCCUGUCUGAGUUGUGUGACCCUUUGUAUACGGGAUGUGUUUUACAAGUCACGUUCCUUGGAAUUGGAAUGCAAAGUUGGUGGUAAUUUUCACCCAAGGCUAAUUAUGAUUGUGAAACCGAUAGCAAACAAGUACCAUGAGGGAAACAUGAAAAGGACUUUGAAAAGAGGGUUAAAAGUGCUUGAAAUUGCUGAACUGGAAGCGAAGGAUGUCUGAGUGCCGAUGAUAGAUUGCUGCCGUUGCAUGCUGCUUGAUUGGUUUGCGACAUGCAAGCUUGUGCAUGGAGUUAUGCAAGGGUUGUGUUGCUGUCGUGGCGUGCUAGUGCCUUUGUGUGUUGGAGCAUGUGUGUCGAAGCAUGGAAGCUCGCUGGUUGAGUGUGUGAAUGCUCGGUUGUUGCUCAGACACAUUGAGUGUAAUGGUUUCUUUUGGAAUGUAUCAGCUUCCACCUGUGGUUGUGGAUCCUAUUCUUGUGUGCAAGCCAUUGAAACUAGUGAAUGGACAUCUUUCGACCCGUCUUGAAACACGGACCAAGGAGUCUAUAAGGUGGCAAACCUUGGAUGCGCAAUGAAAGUAAAUGUAGGUGGGAUCCGCAAGGUGCACCAUCGACCGACCAGGAUCUUUUUGUGAAAGGUUUGAGUAAGAGCAUAUUUGUUGGGACCCGAAAGAUGGUGAACUAUGCUUGAGGAAAGCAAAGUCAGGGGAAACUCUGAUGGAGGCUUGUAGCGAUACUGACGUGCAAAUCGUUCGUCAUACUUGAGUAUAGGGGCGAAAGACUAAUCGAACCAUC
RNAcentral lists this ribosomal RNA (987 nucleotides) under Tripos fusus. RNAcentral describes it as "partial large subunit ribosomal RNA". It matches the Rfam family "Eukaryotic large subunit ribosomal RNA", at positions 21 to 944 of the family's 3401-position model. Lineage: Eukaryota; Dinophyceae; Gonyaulacales; Ceratiaceae. The record is from RNAcentral.